CUUCACCGAACCCAGCAGCAGCGGCCGGUCCUCCGGCCGGUCCUGGCCGUAGGUGGCCAGCAACGCCUGAGCCUC
RNAcentral lists this antisense RNA (75 nucleotides) under Kitasatospora viridis. RNAcentral's name for it is "ASpks TB sRNA". It matches the Rfam family "ASpks TB sRNA". The record is from Rfam by way of RNAcentral. Lineage: Bacteria; Bacillati; Actinomycetota; Actinomycetes; Kitasatosporales; Streptomycetaceae.